Molecule: ribosomal RNA, 301 nt
Filed under: uncultured bacterium
Lineage: Bacteria
Description: partial 16S ribosomal RNA
Rfam family: Bacterial small subunit ribosomal RNA
Source: RNAcentral
CAGUCGCCACGGUAAAACGAAGGGUGCAAGCGUUAAUCGGAAUUACUGGGCGUAAAGCGUGCGUAGGCGGUGAGUUAAGUCUGCUGUGAAAUCCCUGGGCUCAACCUGGGAAUUGCAGUGGAUACUGGGUCACUAGAGUGUGGUAGAGGAUAGUGGAAUUUCCGGUGUAGCAGUGAAAUGCGUAGAGAUCGGAAGGAACAUCUGUGGCGAAGGCGACUAUCUGGGCCAACACUGACACUGAGGCACGAAAGCGUGGGGAGCAAACAGGAUUAGAUACCCCUGUAGUCCCUGUCUCUUAUAC